This 467-nucleotide ribosomal RNA is filed under the name uncultured bacterium. RNAcentral describes it as "partial 16S ribosomal RNA". It matches the Rfam family "Bacterial small subunit ribosomal RNA", at positions 28 to 507 of the family's 1533-position model. The record is from RNAcentral.
GACGAACGCUGGCGGCGUGCUUAACACAUGCAAGUCGAACGGAAAGGCCCUGCUUUUGUGGGGUGCUCGAGUGGCGAAAGGGUGAGUAACACGUGAGGACCUGCCCUUGACUUUGGGAUAACUUCAGGAAACUGGGGCUAAUACCGGAGAGGAGCUACUGCUGCAUGGUGGGGGUUGGAAAGAUUCGGCGGUUGGGGAUGGACUCGCGGCUUAUCAGCUUGUUGGUGGGGUAGUGGCUUACCAAGGCUUUGACGGGUAGCCGGCCUGAGAGGGUGACCGGGCCCAUUGGGACUGAGAUACGGCCCAGACUCCUACGGGAGGCAGCGGUGGGGAAUAUUGCACAAUGGGCGGAAGCCUGAUGCAGCAACGCCGCGUGCGGGAUGACGGCCUUCGGGUUGUAAACCGCUUUCGCCUGUGACGAAGCGUGAGUGACGGUAAUGGGUAAAGAAGCACCGGCUAACUACGUG